Molecule: ribosomal RNA, 591 nt
Filed under: Limosilactobacillus reuteri
Lineage: Bacteria; Bacillati; Bacillota; Bacilli; Lactobacillales; Lactobacillaceae
Description: bacterial SSU rRNA
Rfam family: Bacterial small subunit ribosomal RNA
Source: RNAcentral
GAAAGCCUUCGGCUUAACCGAAGAAGUGCAUCGGAAACCGGGCGACUUGAGUGCAGAAGAGGACAGUGGAACUCCAUGUGUAGCGGUGGAAUGCGUAGAUAUAUGGAAGAACACCAGUGGCGAAGGCGGCUGUCUGGUCUGCAACUGACGCUGAGGCUCGAAAGCAUGGGUAGCGAACAGGAUUAGAUACCCUGGUAGUCCAUGCCGUAAACGAUGAGUGCUAGGUGUUGGAGGGUUUCCGCCCUUCAGUGCCGGAGCUAACGCAUUAAGCACUCCGCCUGGGGAGUACGACCGCAAGGUUGAAACUCAAAGGAAUUGACGGGGGCCCGCACAAGCGGUGGAGCAUGUGGUUUAAUUCGAAGCUACGCGAAGAACCUUACCAGGUCUUGACAUCUUGCGCUAACCUUAGAGAUAAGGCGUUCCCUUCGGGGACGCAAUGACAGGUGGUGCAUGGUCGUCGUCAGCUCGUGUCGUGAGAUGUUGGGUUAAGUCCCGCAACGAGCGCAACCCUUGUUACUAGUUGCCAGCAUUAAGUUGGGCACUCUAGUGAGACUGCCGGUGACAAACCGGAGGAAGGUGGGGACGACGUCA